AAAAUAAUCGGCUUUGUGGAGUUGGUCUAUUUCAUUUUUCCACUUAUCUUGAAUGUCUCCUCUCCAUACAGGAUGCUCUGGAGGAAUGUGGAAAACCCCUUGCAACUGCCAUCUAAACAUCAGGUUUCCCACAGAGGUUUUACCUGCAAGUGUAACAAGUCCUUUCUUUUGCCUGAAUAAUUGGGUGACUACCCAGAAAGAAAAAGAAUGAAUUCUCCAACUCCUGUUGGAUCUUCCUGAAAAUAGCUCAAACCCAUAUGGCAUUUGCCUCCUGCUGAUACUUCCACACCAGGAAUCUCUCCAGCAAAGCGACCAAGACUCAAAGAGGAGUACAUAAUAUGUUCUUUGCUCCUUGUGCUCAUAUACCUAAGCCCUGUUCUCUAAAUCAGAGGCCCAGAGAAACCUCUGGUGAAGAUCAGGAGCUCCUACCUACAGUUCAGCCUGGAAGUUGGAGAAUUUCCUAUUCUGGCAAAAUGAAUUUUAGGGUGGUGCCCCCAGAAAAGAUUUACAAAGCUACCUCUGUGAGAGAUGGCUGCUUCCAGAUCCCACAGCCUCUGACUGAAUCAGUAAAACUAAUUGCUGAAUGUAAGACCUCUCAAUUUAAUUCCAGGAGUGUGUAUCACCCAAGGAAAGACCCAGCAUUACAGCCUACAUAACCUCAGGAUCAUGAAACCUGUGGAUUGUAAAUAUGCAAUUAGCAGCUGGAGUAGAAGUAAAAGCAGAAAAUGUCAACUGUCAAGUAGCUCCAUUGAAAGACACAUGAUGCUUCAAGCUAAGACAGAAAGACAAAAGCACCUACCAACAAGGAUAAAGGUUGCAAAAUCUCUGUUUAAACAUUCCAUUAAUCUCUUCCAUGAAAUAAAUAUAAUUAAUACAUCCAGAAAUAAGGAAUCCACUAUCAAAACUGCAGUUUACUUUUGUAAUAAGGCUCUGUGUGGUAAUGCUAUACUCUACUGCCAAUAGAAAUUCUGGAUUCCACCUCUGUUAUAAUUAAUAACAUAUAUGCCUUUAUGUAACAUGUGGCUGGCCGUAUCACAGUAGCGCAAUUGAUUUCCCAGGAAUAUACAUGGGAAAAGGGUGCAAUACAUCACUGUCAUCUAGAGUAUAUUUCUUUUCUAGACUAAAACAUCUAGUUCUACUUGCAAACAGUUGAUUGCUUCUGCGUCCUCUGUAUGAA
Molecule: long non-coding RNA, 1177 nt
Organism: Empidonax traillii (willow flycatcher)
Lineage: Eukaryota; Metazoa; Chordata; Aves; Passeriformes; Tyrannidae
Exons: 5
Source: RefSeq, a predicted model, not a curated record